Molecule: non-coding RNA, 723 nt
Organism: Drosophila suzukii
Lineage: Eukaryota; Metazoa; Arthropoda; Insecta; Diptera; Drosophilidae
Source: RefSeq, a predicted model, not a curated record
CAAAUAUGUCAAAGCAGUUACAAAGAAGUAGCAUAAACACCCAACUGAUACUCGCUGACCGACAGACCCCUUUAGAUUAUUGAGCACUUUCUAAACAGUUGUGUGACAUGUGUCCACACACUCUACUAAAGUUCUGACUAUUCGAAAAUUGUUCAAAACCUUAGGACAACAAACUCCAGUACGCCAAAAUAAAAUGAAAUGCUAUAGAACAUUUUUCAGUAUAGUUCUUUAUCAUCACCAACUUAAAAAUAUGUUUGUUGGCUUAAAAAUUACAAUUUAAAAAAUUAAAUUACUUUGUAUUUUCGUCGAGAUCAAGUGUAUAUAACCCAUUAAAUUAUUCAAAGUACGAUUAAAUGGGGAUAAAGUGAAUGCUUCCGAUCGAAAAUGUUCUCUGCAUAGUUCUUAUUCAUUGAUACGAGUUUCAAGCGAAAUAAACUCGAAUUACCAGAUCAAAAAAAGAGAAAACAUAAAUAAGACAGUUCAAGACUAUAAAAGCGCCACCCACCACAGUCGGAAGUUAUAAAUGGAAAAUAAGCAUGGGUACUUAUCCACAGACCUUGAAACUGAUGUUCCUGUCAUGUCUGGCCAUCGCGUUAUUGGUACCUCCAGGUGCAACUGGAGUCGGCCAAGAAGACAUACCAAUUUCUGUUGGGCUGCUACAUCGCAGCAAGCGGUCCAUGACUACAAUCUGUGUGAAGAUUACGCCAGGUGGUUUAAAGAAUG